This 282-nucleotide long non-coding RNA is filed under the name Homo sapiens (human). RNAcentral's name for it is "HSALNT0202989". Lineage: Eukaryota; Metazoa; Chordata; Mammalia; Primates; Hominidae. The record is from RNAcentral.
UCAAUGAGAGGAUUGGUAUUAAUUUCCUCAUCAUUUGAUUGACUGAUAAUCAGCUUUCAUCAUUUCAUAGGUGGCCUUUUAUAGAGGAGAAAAUAUAUGAACCCAGCAGCCACCCCAAAAAUUGUCUGCUGAAACAUCAUGUUUCCAGAUAAAAGAAUCAUUUAAUGACUUGCAAGGAAAUCAAAAUGGAAAGAGGAGAGAAUAUAUGGACAGAAAUAUUUUUACAUUAGCACAAGAAGCUGCAUGGCAGAUUUAGAAAGAAGAGUGAUUUCUCAGCAAAAU